AGUCGAACGAGAUCUUCGGAUCUAGUGGCGCACGGGUGCGUAACGCGUGGGAAUCUGCCCUUGGGUUCGGAAUAACUUCUGGAAACGGAAGCUAAUACCGGAUGAUGACGUAAGUCCAAAGAUUUAUCGCCCAAGGAUGAGCCCGCGUAGGAUUAGCUAGUUGGUGGGGUAAAGGCUCACCAAGGCGACGAUCCUUAGCUGGUCUGAGAGGAUGAUCAGCCACACUGGGACUGAGACACGGCCCAGACUCCUACGGGAGGCAGCAGUAGGGAAUAUUGGACAAUGGGCGAAAGCCUGAUCCAGCAAUGCCGCGUGAGUGAUGAAGGCCUUAGGGUUGUAAAGCUCUUUUACCCGGGAUGAUAAUGACAGUACCGGGAGAAUAAGCUCCGGCUAACUCCGUGCCAGCAGCCGCGGUAAUACGGAGGGAGCUAGCGUUGUUCGGAAUUACUGGGCGUAAAGCGCACGUAGGCGGCUAUUCAAGUCAGAGGUGAAAGCCCGGGGCUCAACCCCGGAACUGCCUUUGAAACUAGAUAGCUUGAAUCCAGGAGAGGUGAGUGGAAUUCCGAGUGUAGAGGUGAAAUUCGUAGAUAUUCGGAAGAACACCAGUGGCGAAGGCGGCUCACUGGACUGGUAUUGACGCUGAGG
RNAcentral lists this ribosomal RNA (645 nucleotides) under Sphingobium sp. RNAcentral describes it as "bacterial SSU rRNA". It matches the Rfam family "Bacterial small subunit ribosomal RNA", at positions 60 to 751 of the family's 1533-position model. Lineage: Bacteria; Pseudomonadati; Pseudomonadota; Alphaproteobacteria; Sphingomonadales; Sphingobiaceae. The record is from RNAcentral.